ACGGCGGCGGCCGGGUUCCAGGCGACGACGUCCCAGGUCGCGGUCUUGACCAAAGCGGGGCUGGUCUCGAGCGUGUCGAGCAGCCGCU
This 88-nucleotide transfer RNA is filed under the name Methylobacterium tardum. RNAcentral describes it as "tRNA-Gly". The record is from RNAcentral. Lineage: Bacteria; Pseudomonadati; Pseudomonadota; Alphaproteobacteria; Hyphomicrobiales; Methylobacteriaceae.